Molecule: long non-coding RNA, 263 nt
Filed under: Solanum tuberosum (potato)
Lineage: Eukaryota; Viridiplantae; Streptophyta; Magnoliopsida; Solanales; Solanaceae
Description: long non-coding RNA (STUB_LNC006364)
Source: RNAcentral
AACCACAAAAAUAGGUGUUUUUAAGUUAAGUUUUGUUUUCAAUUUAUUCAAAAGAGAAGAAAAUGUUCAAAAAAUAUAUGUUUUAUUUUAAUGUAUAUUUAAUAAAUAAACUAGUGUUUCUUAAUUAUAUUUUUUAUUAGCUAUUUAACUUUUCUUAAAUUUAUAUUAAUUAAAAAUAAUUAGUUAGUAAUUAUAUUUAUAUAUACCUACCUACACACUACCCCACUACCCCACUUCCUCACACCAUUUCACCCCACUUCCCC